This 497-nucleotide ribosomal RNA is filed under the name uncultured bacterium. RNAcentral's name for it is "partial 16S ribosomal RNA". It matches the Rfam family "Bacterial small subunit ribosomal RNA", at positions 28 to 507 of the family's 1533-position model. The record is from RNAcentral.
GAUGAACGCUGGCGGCGUGCCUAAUACAUGCAAGUCGAGCGAACAGAUGAGGAGCUUGCUCCUCUGACGUUAGCGGCGGACGGGUGAGUAACACGUGGAUAACCUACCUAUAAGACUGGGAUAACUUCGGGAAACCGGAGCUAAUACCGGAUAAUAUAUUGAACCGCAUGGUUCAAUAGUGAAAGACGGUUUUGCUGUCACUUAUAGAUGGAUCCGCGCCGCAUUAGCUAGUUGGUAAGGUAACGGCUUACCAAGGCAACGAUGCGUAGCCGACCUGAGAGGGUGAUCGGCCACACUGGAACUGAGACACGGUCCAGACUCCUACGGGAGGCAGCAGUAGGGAAUCUUCCGCAAUGGGCGAAGGCCUGACGGAGCAACGCCGCGUGAGUGAUGAAGGUCUUCGGAUCGUAAAACUCUGUUAUUGGGGAAGAACAAAUGUGUAAGUAACUAUGCACGUCUUGACGGUACCUAAUCAGAAAGCCACGGCUAACUACGUG